UACUCCAGAACACCAACGGAAGAGGAUAAAGUUCAUUGUUUAGUAUUAGUCAUUGACGUAACGACAUUAAAAAGCUUUCAUCCAACGAGAACCACGACGACAUAUAAGAAUUCAACAGAACAAACUCCUGACCAGUAUCUGCUCAAGAUACGUGCUAUUACUAACGCGAUGAAUUCGAAAUGUAUUCCGAUUGUCUUACUUCUGACAAAAAUCGAUCUGCUGGAUGAACACGUUGGUGCGAACAUCAAAAAGAUGCAUGGACGCGCAACGGUUGAAAAGGCUGUUAAAGAAGCCAGAGAGAUUUUUGGCGUUGAUGAAUGUAACAUAUUUCCAAUCAUCAAUUUUGUCAAGAGUAUUGAAUUCAAACCACUUGCAUCAAUACCACAUCUCUUGGCUAUGCGUCAUAUUCUUGGGUUUGCACGCGAUUGUCCAAGAGCCAUCGGGAUUAACCGGGCGGAUGCACACUCUUAGAUUUACAUCUUUAGACAAGUACAACAGAAAAUGUAGAAUCUCGACAGGCCACAUAAAAAUGAAAAUGUUGAAGGCUUGGUUUGAUUGAGACUGAUCUGAUUACUAUAAAUUCUCUUUCUUUCCGCACUAUGUUAUACUACUGAACAACCUGCUUGGCCGUAUGGUUAGUAUCCCUGAACUUGAUGAUUUAAGUGUGACUGUAGCAACCAUCCAGUAUUAGACAUGAGCACAAUGUAUAUGUCUUUUCAUUUAUAUCUUUUCUAUUCUCUUUUUAAUACCUUAAAAGCCCUUAUCUUUGUUUUAUUAUUACUUGAGCUGAUAUUCUAUGUAACAAAUAUUCCUUUUCACCUUAACUAGCAAGUCGUCUGGCACUGCAUUUGGGUAUUAAUCGAAAAUAUGCGUUGACAUUAGUCAGAAGAUACAUAGUAAUAACUUUCUUACUUCAAGUCGGCGUCUAUAUUACUAAACAUCUAUCAUGGAAUAUAUUGAUAAAACUAACUGGUGUUUCCUUUGAAAACGUUCAUGAAAUCACGACAGUUUAAAACUUUUACUUUCAUUUCCUCAUCGGUCAAAGGAUUUGUCUUGUGAUAAUUUCUGCAAAACGGUUCACCAAUACUCAAGUUUCAACGAAAACUAAAAUGACGUUAUCAGAUGUAAAGAAAAAUGAUGAUACUAAAAAAGAUUCAAGAACACUUUUCCAUAAUUGCUGACGAUUUAUGAUGAAGAGACGCUGUCAAAAAAUUGAACAUCACCAGUUUAAACGUAUGUGGUCUAAGACACGCAUAAAAUAUCAUGACGUUUUAAUGCUUUUAAAUGCGUAAAAUAUUGUAUGUGUACAAUACUUUAGAUAAAACCUGUUUGAUUAUAAAGAUGUGCCAGGGUUAUCAUUUUAUUUAAAGCCCUGAAAAUCAGGAAGUAAAAGUAAAGUGUUUUAUUAUUAAAAAUACUUCCAUUGACCAAAGAAAGGUUACAUAUUUGACAAAAAAAAAACAAAAACAAAAAAAACAAAACAAAAAAAAAAAACAACUUUAAUGGGCAUCAUUGAAGAUGUUUAAUUUUUUAAUUUUUCUGAUACUCAAUUAUUUGACCACUUUAUUUUCAAAUCAUGUGUCGUGACAGAUUACUAUUAGUUACUAAUAUUUGUUAUGGAGCAUAACUUGCACAUACAAACAUGUAAUACAUUCUGUGUUUUUGUCUAUUUAGUUUGCAUAUUUUGUUUCCUUUUCUAUUCAAUGCUCGAUUGUAGACAAAAUGUAAAUUUACGUUGACUUGCACUGUGAAGGUUUUGUCAUGUUCUUGCUUCAUGUCCUUUGUAAUUAUAAAAUACUAUAAACUUGUU
Long non-coding RNA from Mercenaria mercenaria, 1810 nucleotides. RefSeq lists it as uncharacterized. The transcript has 2 exons. NCBI's taxonomy places the organism in Eukaryota, Metazoa, Mollusca, Bivalvia, Venerida, Veneridae. The record is from RefSeq and is a predicted model, not a curated record.